Molecule: transfer RNA, 67 nt
Filed under: Iridona iridescens
Lineage: Eukaryota; Metazoa; Mollusca; Bivalvia; Cardiida; Tellinidae
Description: Moerella iridescens tRNA-Met
Source: RNAcentral
GCCAAGGUAAACUAAAUAGGUUAUCGGGUUCAUACCCCGGGUGAAGAGGUAUAACCUCUUCUUGGUU